This 700-nucleotide ribosomal RNA is filed under the name uncultured Nitrospira sp. RNAcentral describes it as "bacterial SSU rRNA". It matches the Rfam family "Bacterial small subunit ribosomal RNA", at positions 61 to 753 of the family's 1533-position model. The record is from RNAcentral. Lineage: Bacteria; Pseudomonadati; Nitrospirota; Nitrospiria; Nitrospirales; Nitrospiraceae.
GUCGAGCGAGAAGACGUAGCAAUACGUUUGUAAAGCGGCGAACGGGUGAGGAAUACAUGGGUAACCUACCCUCGAGUGGGGAAUAACUAGCCGAAAGGUUAGCUAAUACCGCGUACGCUCCUUGGACUUCGGUUCAGGGAGGAAAGCGAUACCGUGGGUAUCGCGCUCUUGGAUGGGCCCAUGUCCUAUCAGCUUGUUGGUGAGGUAACGGCUCACCAAGGCUUCGACGGGUAGCUGGUCUGAGAGGACGAUCAGCCACACUGGCACUGCGACACGGGCCAGACUCCUACGGGAGGCAGCAGUAAGGAAUAUUGCGCAAUGGGCGAAAGCCUGACGCAGCGACGCCGCGUGGGGGAUGAAGGUCUUCGGAUUGUAAACCCCUUUCGGGAGGGAAGAUGGAAUGGGGUAACCCAUUCGGACGGUACCUCCAGAAGCAGCCACGGCUAACUUCGUGCCAGCAGCCGCGGUAAUACGAAGGUGGCAAGCGUUGUUCGGAUUUACUGGGCGUACAGGGAGCGUAGGCGGUUCGGUAAGCCCUUUGUGAAAUCUCCAGGCUUAACCUGGAACAGUCGGAGGGGACUGCUGGGCUAGAGGACGGGAGAGGAGCGCGGAAUUCCCGGUGUAGCGGUGAAAUGCGUAGAGAUCGGGAGGAAGGCCGGUGGCGAAGGCGGCGCUCUGGAACGUUUUUGACGCUGAGGCU